GUGAACGCUGGCGGCGUGCCUAAUACCUGCAAGUCGCGCGCACGGACGAGAAGCUUGCUUCUCUGAUGUUAGCGGCGGACGGGUGAGUAACACGUGGAUAACCUACCUAUAAGACUGGGAUAACUUCGGGAAACCGGAGCUAAUACCGGAUAAUAUUUUGAACCGCAUGGUUCAAAAGUGAAAGACGGUCUUGCUGUCACUUAUAGAUGGAUCCGCGCUGCAUUAGCUAGUUGGUAAGGUAACGGCUUACCAAGGCAACGAUGCAUAGCCGACCUGAGAGGGUGAUCGGCCACACUGGAACUGAGACACGGUCCAGACUCCUACGGGAGGCAGCAGUAGGGAAUCUUCCGCAAUGGGCGAAAGCCUGACGGAGCAACGCCGCGUGAGUGAUGAAGGUCUUCGGAUCGUAAAACUCUGUUAUUAGGGAAGAACAUAUGUGUAAGUAACUGUGCACAUCUUGACGGUACCUAAUCAGAAAGCCACGGCUAACUACGUG
This 496-nucleotide ribosomal RNA is filed under the name uncultured bacterium. RNAcentral's name for it is "partial 16S ribosomal RNA". It matches the Rfam family "Bacterial small subunit ribosomal RNA", at positions 29 to 507 of the family's 1533-position model. The record is from RNAcentral.